This 2961-nucleotide long non-coding RNA is filed under the name Struthio camelus australis. RNAcentral's name for it is "lncRNA (ENSSCUG00000016089.1)". The record is from RNAcentral. Lineage: Eukaryota; Metazoa; Chordata; Aves; Struthioniformes; Struthionidae.
GAGAAGUUUGGCUAAGCAUCAGGUUCAUUAACCUUUGGGUGACUUUUUCUCAAUAGAUACAUGGCUGUUGCAGAAGCAGCUUCAGGAAAAGAAUAUUGCUUUUCAGUUGGCCUCUUGCCUUGACUGAUGAGAUGUUAACAGCUCCUAAGAAGAAGAAAAUCCAUAUGCCAAAGACGACCGUGGGCUCAAUUUCCUACAGAGGAAGAGUGUUGGAUGAAGCAUGGAAGCAGGUUUAAAUGGGGCUAAUAAAAGAAGUCUCCACAGUUGUGCACAAAUAGUAUAAGAUGGGGUGCAAAACCUGUGCUCCCCCAGCUCUGGUUCAGUGACAAGAGGACAAUCACACAGGUGACAGAAGCGUGCCAGCAUGAUAUGAAGGAACAUUGGCUCUGGUCUACCGAGAGCUUUGUAAAUGCCUAGUGAUCUGCUUAGGGCAAGUCAUGUGCAAGCACCUGAGAACUUGCUACGCUUCAGGCAUCGGAACACAUCAAGUUCACUGCUGAACAUGGAUUUCAUCGACCAAUCAUUAUACUCCCUAAGUCAUGAGGUGAACAACUUUCAAAGACAUGAAGAAAACCCUGUAUAUAGGGGAAGAAAAGACUGGACUGUGCAGGGGAGAGGAAGCAUCCAAACGUUAAUGGCUAUUGAAACAUCCACUGAAAUGUCACCAUCCUCUGCAAGUUGAGAUGACUAUUUCAUAGUCAUGAAAAGAGAAUAGAAGACCCGUCGAAGAACGUUUGCUUCCUGUUACAAGAAAACGUUUUUAUUCUUCUUAAACGAACAAACUGAUCGGCUGUGAGUUUGUACAGGAACCCCUUAUUGAUAUCUGAAAGCAUCCAAAAACAUUCUCCCACCUUAGUACUUUUUUAUGCCAGUAAGAUCAGCUGAGACAGAUAGAAUAAGCAACAGAGAUUUAUACUACCCAGAAAGUGUUUAGCUACUGAGAAGUGAAGACGCAGUGAAUGAAUGACUUGGUUUAUUAUAUUUUUUCCCACAUGGCUUUGCAUUAGAGGGGUUAGCUUUCUCCAUCCAAUUUACUCUGAUCAAAUAAUGUCAGUGUAUUAGGUUUAAUGGGCCCACUUCAAAUUAGAUUAAAGAAAUCAUAUUUAACAAAAAAAAGUAUUUUGGAAAGAAUAACAAUACCAUUAAAAAUCUAAUUUACUUUUCACUUUUUAAGCUCUUUACUUAUAGAUACAUCUUCUUCUGCUGUGAGAACAGAAGAGUUUGACUUUCGUUUUUAAUUACUUUUACUUUUGGGUUGUUGUGUCAGAAUACUGAAGCUUCUCUAAAAGAAAAAUAUCACUUACUUGGCCCUUCUGAAAUAUUUUGAAUUCACACUCCUUCACUGUCAUUACAGUGAAGAAAAUCAGAUUAGGGAAAUUAGAUUAGUAGGAAGUACCAUACUCUCAAGUAAAAAUAUGUAACCCUUUUCAUUCUUUAAACUCACUGAAAUUAGGGGCAAAAGAAACAGAAGUGCAGCUAAGCAAACAAGUAAUGAAAACUUCAUAACAAAAUUGUCCUGUGAUGGUCUGUUCUUGAGAUACAUCAAUUUGUAGCCUCUUUGCAAACUUAGAUGCCUCAAGUUCAGUGUGUUUCUCAUUCUUCCCCAUUUUGGAGGCCAUAUAUAAAGCUAAAAUAAUUUUAAUGGAGUCUGAAAGUUUCAAAGCUUAGGGUCUAUUCCAAUAUUUAGCUUUGCAUGAGAUGAAAAUUACUGAGAUAUUUUUCUUCUGGGAAGAUUUCCUUGAGAAUUCAAAUCAUGAAAGAACCAUGACUUAGAAUAGAAGAGAAAAAAGAAAGGCAAUUAUUAGGAGUUAUUUUAGGUGUUUUCUUACAAAAUUCAGGCUCUCACUGCCAUCUGAAUGAAAUGCAAACACUGAAAUUCAGAGAUUGGCUGUGUCCACUACAGAGGCCUUGGACAGAUUAUAAGCAUUAUUGUGGUUUCACUUUGCAUCAGGUAUUACACUCUUGAAAUCCAUUUACAAUUGCAAACUGGUGUAAAAUACUGUAGGUGAGCAAUCUGACGCAAUAAUCGCUGGAGCAUUAUGGAAAUCCUAUAAAAAUCACCCCCAUAAAAGCCUUUCUAUAAAGUCACAUCUUAUAACAAACUGGUGUCUACAGGCUUGAAGCACAGUGCCUGGGAUAAUCAUGCACACUUGAGAGACUGUAAAUAGCUUUUCAGGUCCUCAGAACACAUGCAUUUAUUAUUUAAGCUCAAGGAAAACAAUAACACAUUAUCCCUCCUUAUACAAAACACAGCAUACCCUUAUGUACUUUAUUGGUGAUGAGGACAGAGCAACCUUUCUUUCUCUCAGGUGCACAAAGUCGAAAUAUUUAGUGUCCCUUCACAGUGUCUUGAGAGAGAUAGGAGAAGAAAUAUAUAACUUCACUCUCACUUUGCCUUCCCUUUGAGAUGUUUAGUACUUCUAAACUGACCCCAGGGGUCAGUCCUGAGUCCAGUCUUGCUCAAUGUAUUCAUCAAUGACCUGGAGGAAGGCACAGAGCGCACCCUCAGCAAGUGUGCUGAUGAUACUAAACUGGGGGGAGAGGCUAACACACCAGAAGACUGUGCUGCCAUUCAGAAGGACUUGGACAGGCUGGAGAGGUGGGCGGAGAGGAACCUCCUGAAGUUCAACAAAGGCAAGGGCUGGGUCCUGCACCUAGGGAGAAAUAAUCCCAUGCAAGAGACAUGGCGCUACUGGAGAGAGUCCAGCGGAGGGCGACAAAGAUGAUGAGGGGACUGGAGCACCUCUCCUCUGAAGAAAGGCUGAGGGAGCUGGGCCUGUUUAGCCUGGAGAAGAGAAGACUGAGAGGCGACCUCAUCAAUGUGUACAAGUAUCUGAAGGGAGGGUGUGGAGAGGAUGAGGCCAGUCUCUUCUCCGUGGUGCCCAGUGACACAGUGCUCUGACAGUGACCAUAGAUUAGUCUUAGAAUAAAUGCAGGAGCCCCUGGGGGGAACCUUUUGGU